UACAACAACCCCAAAGGAAAAACGAAAGGAAAAACCAAAUAAUAGGAAAAUAAAAAAUAGAAAACCAAAAAAGCAAAAGGCCCCAAAAUAAGAAAUCGUCUUCUCAUUUCUACAGUCUUCCAAGCUCUUUGCAAAUCUGAACUCCCCAAAGAAUAAAUGGCUAAAUCUUCUAAAUUUCGGCAGAGAGUCAACCAGAAGAGGAAGCAAGUUUAGACAGACAACCAGAUUACCAAAUUUCUCAACCCAAUCAACUUCACAGAAAAAGAUUUAUGGUGGUCUACUGAAUCGUCGAUCAAAAUCAACCACUUUCAAGAUUUUCAAUGGCGCGUCUUCAACCCAGAACAAAUCAUCAUCAGUUCUCAAACCUUCAACAACCAUUGCAUGCGCUGCCCCAUUUCCUUCUAGCGCAACGAAUUGAAAUCAACAAGAAGAAAAAUUCCUCGUCAAAUUCUUUGCAUCCCAGGUGAAUGGUCUGGAUUCCGAGUAAUUUUCGCGUGUUUGUUGUAUGUUCUGAAUAACCAGCUUUGAAUCACUCUCAAGAAUGAUGUUUGUGAAUCCCAAAUCUAAUGCAAAUUGGAGCCCAUGCAGUACUGCAGUCGCUUCAACAAUCACCACCGAUCGGACCAGAAAGUCCCACAUCGAUAUUAAUUUUCACCCACCCUUACGGAGGGGGCAUCCGUUUUACCAUGGAUCGCGAUUUAGGAUGUUUCAAAGUCAAUGUGCUACCCCAAUAUUCCAUACCAAAACCCCUAAUGAAGCAAACAAACAAUUAAGAACAACAUGCGUAGAGGAUUCACAAAGCUGUCGGCAAUGCGAACAUUUGUUAUCAGUGAUCAAUCUCCUAAAAUGUAAGUUAUGAUAAGUAGGCACAUAAUUUUUCGUAAAUUUCCAA
Molecule: long non-coding RNA, 892 nt
Organism: Gossypium raimondii (Peruvian cotton)
Lineage: Eukaryota; Viridiplantae; Streptophyta; Magnoliopsida; Malvales; Malvaceae
Exons: 3
Source: RefSeq, a predicted model, not a curated record